RNAcentral lists this ribosomal RNA (479 nucleotides) under uncultured bacterium. Its description in RNAcentral is "partial 16S ribosomal RNA". It matches the Rfam family "Bacterial small subunit ribosomal RNA", at positions 28 to 507 of the family's 1533-position model. The record is from RNAcentral.
GAUGAACGCUAGCGGGAGGCCUAACACAUGCAAGCCGAGCGGUAUCGUCUCUUCUGAUAUGAGAGAGCGGCGUACGGGUGCGUAACACGUCUGCAACCUGCCUUUAUCUGGGGGAUAGCCUUUCGAAAGGAAGAUUAAUACUCCAUAAUAUAUUGAACGGCAUCGUUUAAUAUUGAAAGCUCCGGCGGCUAGAGAUGGGCACGCGCAAGAUUAGCUAGUUGGUUAGGUAACGGCUCACCAAGGCGAUGAUCUGUAGGGGGCCUGAGAGAGUGAUCCCCCACACGAGAACUGGGACACGGACCAGGCUCCUGCGACAGGCAGCAGUGAGGAAUAUUAGGCAGUGGGUGCAAGCCUGAACCAGCCAUCCCGCGUGAAGGACGGCUGCCCUAUGGGUUGUAAACUUCUUUUGUGUAGGGAAAAUCCUACCCUCGAGAAGGUAGCUGAAGGUACUAGACGAAUAAGCACCGGCUAACUCCGUG